Long non-coding RNA from Hemicordylus capensis (graceful crag lizard), 679 nucleotides. RefSeq lists it as uncharacterized. Lineage: Eukaryota; Metazoa; Chordata; Lepidosauria; Squamata; Cordylidae. The transcript has 3 exons. The record is from RefSeq and is a predicted model, not a curated record.
AAUGGAUGCUGCUCUAGGACGGACUCCCUCCCCACGCAGCCUCUUGUACUUAACAAAUGCAUGUUUUUAAAGGAGUUUUAUUUGCAGGUCUGCAAUGCAGCCCUUAAAUCUGGAGGAGGCGACACUACCAAAGACAGCCCCCCACCCCCAGGAAGAUACUGUUCUUUGUCAGCAGUUUUGAGGAAAAACUUUUACUGGCAUCCUAACAUACAGCAAUGCUUCUGCCCAGUGGCUGGGACUCAGAACAGAGACUGCAGCCCCUGUGGACUGAAGAGGUUGGUGUUGCAACUGAAGAUAAAUAGAUCGAAGGAAUCAUUUUUACUUUCUUAACAGGUAAGUUGGGACAGGUGAGUAAGAUGGGCUGGGGUAUAAAACAGCCAACGAGCCCAGUACCUUCAAAUCUAACUUGGCAAUAAAUCUUUUAGCCCAGUAAAUACCUGUUCUUCACCCUGCUCUUUCAGUUACUAGGGAGCUGUCUGUCUUGGUACCAUGCCACCAGAAAUCUCCUAAACCAUUAUAUAGGUGUAGAUAAUGGUUUGGAAGAAUGAUGUACCAUAUUUACCCAAAUAGAAGGCAAAACUGACUGCAAGACAAUGACUUCAAAGAUAGAGACUAAAUGCAAGUUAUAUCUGUAUUUACCCUCAAGAAAGAGGAAUGCCUCCCCACCCACCCACCCUAC